GGUAACUACGUGCCAGCAGCUGGGGUAAUGCGUAGGGGCCGAGCGGUGUCCGGAAUCGUUUGGCGUAAAGAGCGUGUGGGCGGCCCCUUAAGUCCUGCGUGAAAUCCUGCGGCUCAACCGCAGACGGUCGUGGGAAAGUGGAGGGCUAGAGUGCGGGAGAGGAGAGUGGAAUUCCCAGUGUAGCGGUGAAAUGCGCAGAUAUUGGGAAGAACACCCGUGGCGAAGGCGGCUCUCUGGAACGCAACUGACGCUGAGACGCGAAAGCGUGGGGAGCAAACAGGAUUAGAUACUCGGGUAGUC
This 300-nucleotide ribosomal RNA is filed under the name uncultured Desulfurococcus sp. RNAcentral describes it as "bacterial SSU rRNA". It matches the Rfam family "Bacterial small subunit ribosomal RNA", at positions 496 to 795 of the family's 1533-position model. The record is from RNAcentral. Lineage: Archaea; Thermoproteati; Thermoproteota; Thermoprotei; Desulfurococcales; Desulfurococcaceae.